UAAGGAAUAUUGGUCAAUGGAGGCAACUCUGAACCAGCCAUGCCGCGUGCAGGAUGACUGCCCUAUGGGUUGUAAACUGCUUUUGUACGGGAAGAAACCCUGAUACGUGUAUCAGGUUGACGGUACUGUAAGAAUAAGGAUCGGCUAACUUCGUGCCAGCAGCCGCGGUAAUACGAAGGAUCCAAGCGUUAUCCGGAUUUAUUGGGUUUAAAGGGUGCGUAGGCGGCUUAUUAAGUCAGUGGUGAAAGCCCGGAGCUUAACUCCGGAACUGCCAUUGAUACUGAUGAGCUUGAAUAUACUUGAGGUGGGCGGAAUGUGUCAUGUAGCGGUGAAAUGCUUAGAUAUGACACAGAACACCAAUUGCGAAGGCAGCUCGCUAAAGUAUUAUUGACGCUGAGGCACUAAAGCGUGGGGAUCAAACAGGAUUAGAUACCCCGGUAGUCC
This 444-nucleotide ribosomal RNA is filed under the name uncultured bacterium. RNAcentral describes it as "bacterial SSU rRNA". It matches the Rfam family "Bacterial small subunit ribosomal RNA", at positions 355 to 796 of the family's 1533-position model. The record is from RNAcentral.